CUUUUGGUCUUUAUGCUUUUUGAUGAGCCGUCUGUGAUCAUUCAAACAUUAAUCCUCGUCUAUAACUGUAACAGUAACAAAUUCAGACACAGCAAAUGACAUUAUCAACAUGUCACUACCAAUGCUAGGAAUAACUGGCUCCGAGAAAGACCACCAGCUGUGGGUGAGUUCUGGCAAGGAAACGGCCCCACGCCUGCUCAUUGGUAAGUGUCAGGAAAAAUCUAA
This is a long non-coding RNA of Ailuropoda melanoleuca (giant panda), 225 nucleotides long. RefSeq lists it as uncharacterized. The transcript is spliced from 3 exons. The record is from RefSeq and is a predicted model, not a curated record. NCBI's taxonomy places the organism in Eukaryota, Metazoa, Chordata, Mammalia, Carnivora, Ursidae.